RNAcentral lists this transfer RNA (87 nucleotides) under Ruthenibacterium lactatiformans. RNAcentral's name for it is "tRNA-Arg". Lineage: Bacteria; Bacillati; Bacillota; Clostridia; Eubacteriales; Oscillospiraceae. The record is from RNAcentral. RNAcentral also lists the same sequence under 1 other name.
CGGCGGGCUGGCUCACGGAUGCAUCUGUUCCCGGCACGGAAGCCGGCUCUCCGGAGCUGGCACUGGUACUGAUACUGGUGCUGCCGC